CCUUCGGGUUGUAAAGCACUUUAGGCGGGGAAGAAGAUUACUCUUUUAAGAGAUAGGUAAUUUGACGGUACCCGCAGAAUAAGCACCGGCUAACUCUGUGC
This 101-nucleotide ribosomal RNA is filed under the name uncultured bacterium. Its description in RNAcentral is "partial 16S ribosomal RNA". The record is from RNAcentral.